This 253-nucleotide ribosomal RNA is filed under the name uncultured bacterium. RNAcentral describes it as "partial 16S ribosomal RNA". It matches the Rfam family "Bacterial small subunit ribosomal RNA", at positions 524 to 776 of the family's 1533-position model. The record is from RNAcentral.
UACAGAGGUCUCAAGCGUUGUUCGGAUUCAUUGGGCGUAAAGGGUGCGUAGGCGGCGCGGUAAGUCGGGUGUGAAAUCUCGGAGCUUAACUCCGAAACUGCAUUCGAUACUGCCGUGCUUGAGGACUGGAGAGGAGACUGGAAUUUACGGUGUAGCGGUGAAAUGCAUAGAUACCAUAAAGAACACCUAUUGCGAAGGCAGCUUACUAAGCUGUAACUGACGCUGAGGCACGAAAGUGUGGGGAUCAAACAGG